This 871-nucleotide ribosomal RNA is filed under the name Escherichia coli. Its description in RNAcentral is "partial 23S ribosomal RNA". It matches the Rfam family "Bacterial large subunit ribosomal RNA", at positions 474 to 1344 of the family's 2925-position model. Lineage: Bacteria; Pseudomonadati; Pseudomonadota; Gammaproteobacteria; Enterobacterales; Enterobacteriaceae. The record is from RNAcentral.
UCCUGACUGACCGAUAGUGAACCAGUACCGUGAGGGAAAGGCGAAAAGAACCCCGGCGAGGGGAGUGAAAAAGAACCUGAAACCGUGUACGUACAAGCAGUGGGAGCACGCUUAGGCGUGUGACUGCGUACCUUUUGUAUAAUGGGUCAGCGACUUAUAUUCUGUAGCAAGGUUAACCGAAUAGGGGAGCCGAAGGGAAACCGAGUCUUAACUGGGCGUUAAGUUGCAGGGUAUAGACCCGAAACCCGGUGAUCUAGCCAUGGGCAGGUUGAAGGUUGGGUAACACUAACUGGAGGACCGAACCGACUAAUGUUGAAAAAUUAGCGGAUGACUUGUGGCUGGGGGUGAAAGGCCAAUCAAACCGGGAGAUAGCUGGUUCUCCCCGAAAGCUAUUUAGGUAGCGCCUCGUGAAUUCAUCUCCGGGGGUAGAGCACUGUUUCGGCAAGGGGGUCAUCCCGACUUACCAACCCGAUGCAAACUGCGAAUACCGGAGAAUGUUAUCACGGGAGACACACGGCGGGUGCUAACGUCCGUCGUGAAGAGGGAAACAACCCAGACCGCCAGCUAAGGUCCCAAAGUCAUGGUUAAGUGGGAAACGAUGUGGGAAGGCCCAGACAGCCAGGAUGUUGGCUUAGAAGCAGCCAUCAUUUAAAGAAAGCGUAAUAGCUCACUGGUCGAGUCGGCCUGCGCGGAAGAUGUAACGGGGCUAAACCAUGCACCGAAGCUGCGGCAGCGACGCUUAUGCGUUGUUGGGUAGGGGAGCGUUCUGUAAGCCUGCGAAGGUGUGCUGUGAGGCAUGCUGGAGGUAUCAGAAGUGCGAAUGCUGACAUAAGUAACGAUAAAGCGGGUGAAAAGCCCGCUCGCCGGAAGA